AUACGUAGGGGGCGAGCGUUGUCCGGAAUGAUUGGGCGUAAAGGGCGCGUAGGCGGCCCGGUAAGUCUGGAGUGAAAGUCCUGUUUUUAAGAUGGGAAUUGCUUUGGAUACUGCCGCGCUUGAGUGCAGGAGAGGUUAUCGGAAUUCCCGGUGUAGCGGUGAAAUGCGUAGAGAUCGGGAGGAACACCAGUGGCGAAGGCGGGUAACUGGACUGCAACUGACGCUGAGGCGCGAAAGUGUGGGGAGCAAACAGGAUUAGAUACCCUGGUAGUCCACACUGUAAACGAUGAAUGCUAGGUGUAAGAGGUAUCGACCCCUUUUGUGCCGGAGUCAACACAAUAAGCAUUCCGCCUGGGGAGUACGGCCGCAAGGUUGAAACUCAAAUGAAUUGGCGGGG
RNAcentral lists this ribosomal RNA (397 nucleotides) under uncultured bacterium. RNAcentral describes it as "partial 16S ribosomal RNA". It matches the Rfam family "Bacterial small subunit ribosomal RNA", at positions 523 to 918 of the family's 1533-position model. The record is from RNAcentral.